This 466-nucleotide ribosomal RNA is filed under the name uncultured bacterium. RNAcentral's name for it is "partial 16S ribosomal RNA". It matches the Rfam family "Bacterial small subunit ribosomal RNA", at positions 28 to 507 of the family's 1533-position model. The record is from RNAcentral.
GACGAACGCUGGCGGCGCGCCUAACACAUGCAAGUCGAACGAGCGAGAGAGAGCUUGCUUUCUUGAGCGAGUGGCGAACGGGUGAGUAACGCGUGAGGAACCUGCCUCAAAGAGGGGGACAACAGUUGGAAACGACUGCUAAUACCGCAUAAGCCCACGGUGCCGCAUGGCACCGAGGGAAAAGGAGCAAUCCGCUUUGAGAUGGCCUCGCGUCCGAUUAGCUAGUUGGUGAGGUAACGGCCCACCAAGGCGACGAUCGGUAGCCGGACUGAGAGGUUGAACGGCCACAUUGGGACUGAGACACGGCCCAGACUCCUACGGGAAGCAGCAGUGGGGAAUAUUGCACAAUGGGGGAAACCCUGAUGCAGCGACGCUGCGUGGAGGAAGAAGGUCUUCGGAUUGUAAACUCCUGUUGUUGGGGAAGAUAAUGACGGUACCCAACAAGGAAGUGACGGCUAACUACGUG